Molecule: ribosomal RNA, 1450 nt
Filed under: uncultured organism
Description: SSU rRNA
Rfam family: Bacterial small subunit ribosomal RNA
Source: RNAcentral
GAUGAACGCUAGCUACAGGCUUAACACAUGCAAGUCGAGGGGCAGCAUGGUCUUAGCUUGCUAAGGCCGAUGGCGACCGGCGCACGGGUGAGUAACACGUAUCCAACCUGCCGUCUACUCUUGGACAGCCUUCUGAAAGGAAGAUUAAUACAAGAUGGCAUCAUGAGUCCACAUGUUCACAUGAUUAAAGGUAUUCCGGUAGACGAUGGGGAUGCGUUCCAUUAGAUAGUAGGCGGGGUAACGGCCCACCUAGUCUUCGAUGGAUAGGGGUUCUGAGAGGAAGGUCCCCCACAUUGGAACUGAGACACGGUCCAAACUCCUACGGGAGGCAGCAGUGAGGAAUAUUGGUCAAUGGGCGAGAGCCUGAACCAGCCAAGUAGCGUGAAGGAUGACUGCCCUAUGGGUUGUAAACUUCUUUUAUAAAGGAAUAAAGUCGGGUAUGCAUACCCGUUUGCAUGUACUUUAUGAAUAAGGAUCGGCUAACUCCGUGCCAGCAGCCGCGGUAAUACGGAGGAUCCGAGCGUUAUCCGGAUUUAUUGGGUUUAAAGGGAGCGUAGAUGGAUGUUUAAGUCAGUUGUGAAAGUUUGCGGCUCAACCGUAAAAUUGCAGUUGAUACUGGAUAUCUUGAGUGCAGUUGAGGCAGGCGGAAUUCGUGGUGUAGCGGUGAAAUGCUUAGAUAUCACGAAGAACUCCGAUUGCGAAGGCAGCCUGCUAAGCUGCAACUGACAUUGAGGCUCGAAAGUGUGGGUAUCAAACAGGAUUAGAUACCCUGGUAGUCCACACGGUAAACGAUGAAUACUCGCUGUUUGCGAUAUACAGCAAGCGGCCAAGCGAAAGCGUUAAGUAUUCCACCUGGGGAGUACGCCGGCAACGGUGAAACUCAAAGGAAUUGACGGGGGCCCGCACAAGCGGAGGAACAUGUGGUUUAAUUCGAUGAUACGCGAGGAACCUUACCCGGGCUUAAAUUGCAGAUGAAUUACGGUGAAAGCCGUAAGCCGCAAGGCAUCUGUGAAGGUGCUGCAUGGUUGUCGUCAGCUCGUGCCGUGAGGUGUCGGCUUAAGUGCCAUAACGAGCGCAACCCUUGUUGUCAGUUACUAACAGGUCAUGCUGAGGACUCUGACAAGACUGCCAUCGUAAGAUGUGAGGAAGGUGGGGAUGACGUCAAAUCAGCACGGCCCUUACGUCCGGGGCUACACACGUGUUACAAUGGGGGGUACAGAGGGCCGCUACCACGCGAGUGGAUGCCAAUCCCAAAAACCUCUCUCAGUUCGGACUGGAGUCUGCAACCCGACUCCACGAAGCUGGAUUCGCUAGUAAUCGCGCAUCAGCCACGGCGCGGUGAAUACGUUCCCGGGCCUUGUACACACCGCCCGUCAAGCCAUGGGAGCCGGGGGUACCUGAAGUGCGUAACCGCGAGGAGCGCCCUAGGGUAAAACUGGUGACUGGGGCU